Molecule: long non-coding RNA, 1315 nt
Filed under: Strigops habroptila (Kakapo)
Lineage: Eukaryota; Metazoa; Chordata; Aves; Psittaciformes; Psittacidae
Description: lncRNA (ENSSHBG00005015750.1)
Source: RNAcentral
GCUGCGGUGGUGCGCAGGCUCCCUGUGGAAAAUCUCCUAAGCAGCCUAGAGCUUGCCUUGCAGUGUUUUUUGGAUGCUUCAGUCUCAAGAAGCUGAGAUGAUGUGGGGCUCUCGGUCUCAGCGAGUAUUUCUGCAUUAGCAGCCUCAGGCUGAAAGAGCUCUCAGUAUUUGAUGCUAGCUUUUGAAUCCACACUGGCCCUUUUUCGUCGAGCGUGAGCUGCAAGGAGCUCAACAGCAGCGGCAUUUAGUUCAAUUUCUUCAGAUAAACUGGAAAUUUUCAAUAAUGGCAAUACGUUCAUUCUGCCAUUUGGAGGAGCCUGUGCCACAGAAUAAUGAUCUGAAGAAAGCUCACUUAUUUGCAAGGAAGAGUCUUCAUUUGGGAAGUAGUUCCGUUGCAGCUAACAGGUGCUUUGUCAAGUUCAGAACCUCCUGUUUGUGGACAAAAUUGGGGUUUCCUCAAAGAGAGUCCUGUAUCUGAAGAGUGAGAAGCACUAGGUCUUUGACAUUCAGUGGGAUGAGAAUCUCAGAACAGACUGACUACUGGGGACUCCCAAGCUACAGUUCAGAAACCAUUUUGUUAGGUGUGGGUUGCUUGUCAGAAAUCCAUUCGAAGCUUGAGUGCAAGGCAAGCAGGGUACUAAUGAUGGAUAUGAAUGGAUAUCUUCAGGAUAACAAUGGAUGCAGCAUCUUCAAAAGCAGUGUCAUUCUGGCUCUGCCACUGGAUUUGUUCAAAUGGACCUUGAUAGCCAUGGGGCCUGACUGAGUUGAUGAGACUCUGGGUGACUGCAAGUUUCUACUCUGAAGAUCUGAUUGUAGGCUUCAACCUAAAUUUCUAUUUUAUUCCUCUGUCUAUUUCCUUCUAAUACAUGAAAAUUAUCCUACAAAAUGGUAUUGUCUUUGAGUCUCAUGCACACCUACUUUAAUAGCAUUCAGAUACCAUGUGCUUGGGAUGUUGUCAGAGAUCGUUAAAACACUUCUGUUGUGUCAUAUGCCAAAACCUCAUCAUUGCUGUGAUUAUUGCGUUAUAUUUUUACAUUCAGUGGCUUCCUACCUAAAAUGGAGAUCAUCAUCUGUGUUUUCAGUCAUUGUGGUAUUUCUCUUAACUCAGAUUUGGAAGUCAGAGUAACUGUUAGAACUCUAUUCAGGUCUACACUUUUAAAGGUGCUAGUAGACUUGGUUUUGUUUGUUGAACACAAAUAAGUUCUAUUUUACUUUAUUUUGCAAUGUGCUGUUUUUUUAGUAGCCUACUACUACUGAAAGCUUUCAAUAUGAUGAUACCCUGUGAUGUAGACCAAUAAAAUAAGUAGGAAAAGGC